Streptomycetaceae bacterium MP113-05 is the source of this 139-nucleotide non-coding RNA. NCBI's taxonomy places the organism in Bacteria, Bacillati, Actinomycetota, Actinomycetes, Kitasatosporales, Streptomycetaceae. The record is from Rfam.
CUGCCGGUGGAAGUCCGGUCCGGGUAGCUGCCAGGAGGCCCGGUAGCAGGCUGGCGGCGUCGGAGGGAAACGUCCGGCGUCGAAGCCCAGCGUCAAUGGCCCUGUAAUAGGGGGAGCGACGAUACGGUCCGUAGCAUCA